RNAcentral lists this long non-coding RNA (934 nucleotides) under Mustela putorius furo (domestic ferret). RNAcentral describes it as "lncRNA (ENSMPUG00000028603.1)". Lineage: Eukaryota; Metazoa; Chordata; Mammalia; Carnivora; Mustelidae. The record is from RNAcentral.
CUGACAGCUGCUGCCUUUUCAUGGAAUGUUAAAAUAUUGCUACUUAAUGUGAUUAUUGUUGUGCCAGAUUUAAAUAUUUUGUAUUUGUUACUAUUGCUAAGUCACAAACUAUCCUAAAAUUAGGGGCAUAAAAUUAUAAUCAUUUUAAUGCCUUUUUGGAUUCUAUCAGUCAGGAACUCAGAUAGGACAUAUUGGGGAUGGCUUGCUCUACUUCUCAAUGUCAGGGGCUUUGGAUGGGGAGAUUUGAAUGCUAGUCAUAAUGGAAUGACUUGGAGCUGAAAUCAUCCCAAGACUUACUCCAUUAAUGAUGGUUGAUGAUGGCUGUUAGCUGGUACCUCACCUAGGGCUAUUGGCUUGAGCCCUCCAUAUCCAUGGCUUCUAUAUAGGGCUUUUUGGUUUCCUCACAGCAUGGUGGCUGGGUUUCAAGAAAAUGUUUCUAAAAGAAACACAUGGAAGCUUCCUAUUCUUUGUGACCUACUCUCAGAAAUCACAUAGUGACACUUUAACUGUACUCACUAAAGUAGUAGUAGACACAAGCCCCUACCCAGGUUCAAGGGAAAAAGACAGAAACCCCACCUCUCAAGGUGAAAAGUAUCAAAGAUAUGUAGGACCAUUUUUAAGACUGCCACAUCAAAAAAAAAAAAAAAAAGACUUGUCAUUUUUAUCUUUUUUAUUCAUCUGUCUUUUUCCCCUAUGCCUGCUUUUAAGAUUUUUUUUCUUUAACACAUGUUGUCAAAAAAUUAAUUGUGUCAUGCUAUGGUUUUCUUUGUAUUCUUCCUAGUUAGAAUCUUUUGAGCUUCCUAUAUUUAUACAUUUAUAGUUUUUAUAAAAUUUGGAAAAAAGUUUUGCCAUCAUUUCUUUAAAUACUUGACAUGCCCUUUGCUCUUUGCUAGGCUUUCAAGUACAUAUACAUUAAGUCACUUGUUAUUUUCCC